Molecule: ribosomal RNA, 164 nt
Filed under: Anisopogon avenaceus
Lineage: Eukaryota; Viridiplantae; Streptophyta; Magnoliopsida; Poales; Poaceae
Description: 5.8S ribosomal RNA
Rfam family: 5.8S ribosomal RNA
About the family: 5.8S ribosomal RNA (5.8S rRNA) is a component of the large subunit of the eukaryotic ribosome. It is transcribed by RNA polymerase I as part of the 45S precursor that also contains 18S and 28S rRNA.
Source: RNAcentral
UACACGACUCUCGGCAACGGAUAUCUCGGCUCUCGCAUCGAUGAAGAACGUAGCGAAAUGCGAUACCUGGUGUGAAUUGCAGAAUCCCGCGAACCAUCGAGUCUUUGAACGCAAGUUGCGCCCGAGGCCUCUUGGCCGAGGGCACGCCUGCCUGGGCGUCACGC